RNAcentral lists this ribosomal RNA (391 nucleotides) under uncultured bacterium. RNAcentral describes it as "partial 16S ribosomal RNA". It matches the Rfam family "Bacterial small subunit ribosomal RNA", at positions 523 to 918 of the family's 1533-position model. The record is from RNAcentral.
AUACGGAGGAUCCGAGCGUUAUCCGGAUUUAUUGGGUUUAAAGGGUGCGCAGGCGGCCAUUUAAGGCAGCGGUUAAAUCGUGGGGCUCAACCCCCUUCUGCCGUUGAUACUGGGUGGCUUGAUUGCGGUCGAGGUUGGCGGAAUUCGUUGUGUAGCGGUGAAAUGCAUAGAUAUGACGAAGAACACCGAUUGCGUAGGCCGACAGCCCGAACCCCAAUUACGGCCAAUGACGAAAAGACGGGGAUUGAACAUGAUUAAAUACCCUGGUUGUUCGCAGAGGAAACAGUGAAUUCUUGUUUUCGGCGGUAUAAUGUCGGAGGGAAGCGAAAGCGAUAAGUAUUCCACCUGGGGAGUACGCCGGCAACGGUGAGACUCAAAUGAAUUGACGGGG